GGCCAAGCCAGGGACGCACUGGUACGGGAGGAAGUUUCCUACGCCGUCUAACGGUCUUUUAGGGCUUCCUCACAAGUCAUACAGUGGUAACGCCCCCACCUAAUCACCAUUUUCUCGUCUUCCAACGGAGAGAAACGAGCACGGAGACCCAAGACCAAACGAAAAUGGAAAAGAACAAAUUUAGGUUAUGAAAGCUGUGAAAUUCUGAAGCUGUUGACGAGCUUAUUGGGAAUGUGUAGAUUGUGAAUCAUUUAAUUCUAAUUCAAAAAAAUGAAACGAUUUGUAUAUAUCAAUGAUGAUGAAUCGCCAACACAGGAAAUUUACUGUGAUAAUCGCAUUUCAAAUAGAAAAUAUACCUUGCUGAAUUUUCUCCCCAAAAAUUUGUGGGAGCAGUUCAGCCGAUUCAUGAAUCAGUAUUUCUUGUUGAUUGCUUGCCUUCAGCUAUGGUCACUUAUCACUCCAGUGAACCCUGCCAGUACUUGGGGUCCCCUUAUUUUUAUAUUUGCAGUAUCAGCAACCAAAGAAGCUUGGGAUGAUUAUAAUAGAUAUCUCUCAGACAAGAAAGCGAACGAGAAAGAAGUGUGGGUUGUUAGGAAGGGCAUCAAAAAGCAUAUCCAAGCACAGGACAUUCAUGUGGGUAAUAUAGUGUGGCUUCGAGAAAAUGAUGAAGUGCCAUGUGAUCUUGUUUUGAUUGGUACCUCAGAUCCUCAAGGUCUCUGCUAUGUGGAGACAGCUGCCUUGGAUGGUGAAACUGAUCUGAAGACGAGGGCAAUACCCUCUGCUUGCAUGGGCAUAGAUUCUGAUUUGUUGCACAAAAUCAAGGGUGUCAUUGAAUGUCCAAAUCCAGAUAAGGACAUCAGACGAUUUGAUGCAAAUUUGCGCUUGUUUCCUCCAUUUAUUGAUAAUGAUGUUUGCCCUUUGACCAUAAAAAACACAAUUCUUCAGUCAUGCUACUUGCGAAAUACAGAGUGGGUUUGUGGAGUGGCUGUCUACACAGGCAAUGAAACUAAGCUGGGUAUGAGUAGGGGUGUUCCUGAACCUAAGCUUACAGCUAUGGAUGCCAUGAUUGACAAGCUAACUGGAGCUAUAUUUGUUUUCCAAAUAGUGGUAGUUAUUGUUCUAGGCAUUGCUGGGAAUGUAUGGAAGGACACAGAAGCAAGAAAGCACUGGUAUGUCCUAUAUCCAAAUGAAGGUCCUUGGUAUGAACUGUUGGUAAUCCCUUUAAGAUUCGAGUUGCUAUGUUCCAUCAUGAUACCCAUAUCUAUUAAGGUGUCUUUGGAUCUUAUGAAGGGCUUAUAUGCAAAGUUUAUAGAUUGGGACGCUGAGAUGAUUGAUCAUGAAACUGGUUGUCCAUCUCAUGCAACAAACACAGCAAUAAGUGAGGACCUGGGACAAGUUGAGUACAUUUUGACUGACAAAACUGGAACUCUUACUGAGAAUAAGAUGGUGUUUAGAAGAUGCUGUAUCAAUGGAAUUUUCUAUGGGAAUGAGAGUGGCAAUGCCUUGAAAGAUGCCCGACUGCUCAAUGCUGUUGCUAGUGGAUCUCCUGAUGUUAUUCAGUUUCUUACAGUUAUGGCAAUAUGUAAUACUGUUAUACCUGUCCAAAGCAAAACUGGAGCAAUCUUAUACAAAGCACAGUCUCAGGAUGAGGACGCUCUUGUUCAAGCUGCUGCUAAGUUGCAUAUGGUUUUUGUUAGUAAAAGCGGAAAUAUUCUUGAGAUCAGAUACAAUGCUUCUGUAUUACAUUAUGAAGUGUUGGAGAUUCUGGAGUUCACUUCUGAGAGGAAAAGGAUGUCAGUUGUGGUCAGAGAUUGCCAGAAUGGAAAGAUUAUCCUUUUGUCAAAAGGAGCGGAUGAAGCUAUUCUUCCUUAUGCUGCUGCAGGACAACAAACAAGGACAUUUAGUGAAGCUGUAGAACAGUAUGCCCAAAUGGGUCUGCGGACAUUAUGCUUAGCCUGGCGGGAAUUAAAAGAAGAUGAAUAUCAUGAGUGGUCUUUGAUGUUUAGAGAGGCCAGUAGCACAUUGGUUGAUAGGGAGUGGAGAAUAGCUGAAGUCUGCCAAAGAUUAGAACAUGAUCUUGAAGCUCUUGGAAUUACUGCCAUAGAAGAUCGCCUACAGGAUGGUGUACCAGAAACAAUUGAGACACUUAGGAAAGCAGGAAUAAAUUUUUGGAUGCUAACUGGAGAUAAGCAGAAUACUGCCAUACAAAUUGCUCUUUCAUGCAAUUUUAUUUCACCAGAGCCAAAAGGUCAGCUUCUGUUAAUUGAUGGCAAAACUGAAGAUGAAGUUUCUAGGAGUUUAGAGAGAGUUUUACUUACAAUGAGUAUAACAACUUCAGAACCAAAGGACGUGGCAUUUGUUGUUGAUGGCUGGGCCCUAGAAAUCUUACUGAAGCAUUAUCGAAAAGCCUUUACUGAUUUGGCAAUAUUGUCGAGGACUGCAAUAUGUUGUCGUGUGACACCAUCACAAAAAGCACAGGUUGUCAGGAUUUAAGUUUGUAAUGUUGGUCUUCCAUUUACAUUUGUGUAUAUUUGGAUUGUCAACUUAAAUUUUUUAUUUAAAAUUUUUGCAUUGUUAGAUUUUUUUUCCCUGAAAACUGAAGCUAACUUUUGAAUAUAUUGUAUAAUGGGAAAAUGAAAAGUAGGUCUAGUCCAUGGCAUUCAAAAGGGUCCUAUUCUGGAUGAAGAAGUGAAUUGGUUCGUUUGGAGAAAAGAAAAAAAGGGCAAUCUAUUAAUUAAAAAGUCUUUAAUGUAGGAUCCAUACGUCCGAGGAUGAGUGAUCUCUCUUCAAAACCCACCAGAUAUGGAAUGGAUUAAGUAGAGCAAGUUCGGUGCUGCUUCUAUAAUUUAUCUCUGAAAUUUCUAUGUAUUCUUUUCCAAUCUCGUCUUCAUUGUCGGCUGAGUUAUAUAGUUCGGUUGAGUUAUAUAGUUCUAAAGGAGGAUAACAGAAUGAGGACCAGAAGAUAAGCACUAUGUUUGGGAAUUCGAAGGGAGAGGGGAGGUUCUGAACUUCUGAUAUGAAUAAGAGAAAGAAGAGGAGAUAGUGGAACCCUGUCUAAUGUUUGGGUUUAGAGUGCAAAGGGGUUGGAAUUAUGAAGUAGCAAGUAAUUGGCAAUUAUUUUCCUGUUUGUUCUGAAGAAUGGAUGGGUCAGUUUUGGAAUCAAUGGACAUAUGAUCAGGUCAUCAACGCUUCCAUCAUACAGGAGUUGUAUCUUAUUCUUGAAUCUGGAGCAAAGAAAAAUUGUGAAGCAAACAUAAUUAAUGGAUAAAUAUCCAAUGAUAUGAAAUGCAUGUGGUAUUUGCUUGCACAUUGUAGUGCAAAGAAACUGGGUUUGAUGACAUGUUGGAGUUCUAAUAGAUUUUUCUAUAGGAUUGUAAUAUGGAAUGUAUACUAUAGUAUUGUACACUGUUAAUCAGAAUGGAGGGGAAUCAUUUAUAUGAUUGGCACAUAAUUAAUAUAUGCAUUUGGACAAUUUCCUGAACUUUAUCUUGUGUUUUUGAUGAUAAUCUGUAUGUUUGAAUGCUUUGUGUUAGUAAACUUCAGGGCAUUCAGAAAAGGAAGGCAGGCCAAGCUUUUGUGUUAUGCUGCUCCUGCAAUGUUAUGAUGCAUUUUAGCUAGAGAGAAUUUUGUAGUUUUUAAGGAAUAAAUAUAGUCUUUACAAUUAUUAUGGGAUAGAAUUGCAAAGGGCUUCUGAUUCAUAUUGUUCAUACAUAUAUUUUGUCCAAUGAUUGAAACUAGUCCUAUGGAGGAUUACACAAUUUUUGCAUUUGUUCUUCAACUUAAAAUUUAAAUUAACGAUACUAAUAUAGUUCAGUAAACCAAUACUGAUUUGAGGUGUAUGAUACUUCUUUUGGUAGCUUGUGGAACUCUUGAAAUCAUGUGACUAUAGAACACUAGCUGUUGGAGAUGGUGGGAAUGAUGUGAGAAUGAUACAACAAGCUGACAUUGGAGUUGGCAUUAGUGGGAGAGAAGGCCUGCAGGCAGCAAGGGCUGCUGAUUAUAGUAUUGGAAAGUUCAGGUUUCUGAAACGACUGAUACUUGUCCAUGGGCGAUAUUCAUACAAUCGAACAGCAUUUCUGUCUCAAUAUUCCUUUUAUAAAUCCCUACUGAUAUGUUUCAUCCAAAUCUUGUGAGUUUCCAUAUUCAGUGCCUUACCUUAUUGCUCUCUUUAUCUUGGUAAUCAAUAAAUUAGCAUGAUAAAUAUCGAGCAUUGGAUAGACCUCUGAUCUCCUUUUUUUGGUACUAAAAUUAGCAUAUAUACAGUUUUUCUUUCAUUUCAGGUGUUUCUGGGACCAGUCUUUUCAAUUCUGUUAGCUUGAUGGCUUAUAACGUUUUCUAUACUAGUAUACCUGUUCUAGUUAGUGUACUUGACAAAGAUCUUAGUGAAGAAAUGGUAAUGCAGCAUCCCCAAAUUCUAUUCUAUUGCCAAGCUGGAAGGUAUGUUUCUUUACUCUAUUUGUGACAUUUCUCCUUCUCGGUUUUUUUUAGUUGGUGGGUUUACUCGGAUGUUGACCAGCAUGAUUUGUUGUUCAUAUGAGGAUUAUAGUUUAUGUUGCUCUAUGUUUGUUGAACCGACAAUCAUUAUUGACACAGGCUUCUUAAUCCAAGCACAUUUGCAGGAUGGUUUGGUCGAUCUCUUUUCCAUGUAAAUACUGUCUUUUUUGUAUUAUUUCCUUCUUUCCGCUAAUAAAUCUUUAUUACAGUUGAUGCAUUUGCUAACAAUUGAUAUUCAGGGACAAAAAUAAGGUUAGGAUUGAAAUGGAACCUAAUUUGAAGACCAACUAAUAUUCAUCAACUUUCAAUAUUAAGUGAGUGAAAAUUCAUAUGCAUACAGUUAAAAGAAAUAAAAGCAUUUACUUGAUUCUUCUGCUUAUCCAUGAACUUGUUAAACUUAUUAGAUAUAAAAGUUUGGGUGUGUAUAUAUGGGAGGGAUAUUUCUUUUUUGGUUUACGUUUAACCCUUUGGAAUGAGAUUUUAGUUUUUAUAAAUAAAGUUUGUUAGAUUCAUGACCAGGUAUGAAAAGUUGUGUGAACAUUAAUUUUGGAAACCUUCAACAAAGGUGUAAUUUCCAGAUACACUAACAAUUUGGCUGAAUAAUUUUUUUCCCUUGCUCCUGUACUAGCUUAUACAUUCAAACUAAUAAGAAAAGGUCAAGAAGUCCUUGAAUUUCAAAUUCUUAUCCAAAUGCAACUUCAAGGAAUUUGUCUUCUGAAAUUGAAAGCACAACCCGAUGUGAUAUUAUGACUUCUGAAUGCCCUCUUUGAACUUCUGGGUAUUAUAGAAUGCUCACUUGACUGCUCUGAAUGUUGAAAUCUGAUUUUAGUUUAUUGGGUAUAAACUGAAGCUCUAGUUUGCAAGUAUUAAUAAGUCAUUUUAUCAUAUUUUAUUGCCGCUUGAAGUGCUCUUAGUUCACCAAGUAAUUUAAGUUACACUUUUACCUAUAGAUUUACUCGGUCAUGUACUCACUAGUGUCCUUUCCUUGUCUGUUGAUACUUGUGUGAUUUUCAGGCAAUUGUUGUUUUUAUAAUCAGUAUAAAUGCUUAUGCUUAUGAAAAGAGUGAAAUGGAGGAGGUUGCAAUGGUGGCGCUUUCUGGAUGUAUAUGGUUGCAGGCAUUUGUUGUAACAUUAGAGACCAACUCCUUCACAAUAUUACAACAUCUAGCCAUAUGGGGGAACUUGAUUGCAUUUUAUGUCAUCAACUGGAUUGUUAGUGCCAUUCCAUCAUCAGGGAUGUAUACAAUAAUGUUCCGAUUGUGUGGACAACCAUCUUACUGGAUAACUGUAUUUCUGAUAGUUGCAGCAGGAAUGGGUCCAAUACUAGCCCUGAAGUACUUUCGCUACACGUAUAGACCCAGUAAAAUCAACACUCUACAGCAGGCUGAACGUUUGGGUGGACCAAUCUUGUCUCUGGGGAAUAUCGAACCACAACCAAGAUCAUUAGAGAAAGAAGUUUCUCCAUUAUCAAUUACUCAACCCAAGAACAGAAGUUUAGUUUACGAACCUCUAUUAUCAGACUCUCCAAAUGCUAGAAGAUCUUUUGGAUCAGGAACGCCAUUUGAUUUCUUUCAAUCACAGUCCAGAUUGUCUUCUUCAAGCUACUCAAGAAAUUGUAAGGACAACUAACUUCUAGUUCUUGUUAAUUGGCAUAAAAGCAAGUGUAUAGGCGGCGUAGUUGAUGGUAAAAGGCGCUUGGUGGAAGAAAUUUUAAAAUAUAAUUGUUGUAUGUUUAACAGUUUGAUUAUAGCUAUUGAUCAUGGUAAGUCAUAUGUGGAACCCAGUAUAAUCAACUGUCAAAAUUUAUUAGUUUUACAUUCAAUGGUUGUAUGGAAUGAUUUCUCCCUUGUUGGGUGUAGCAGCUUUUUGUUAGAGUUGUAGAGGAUACACUUUUCCAUCUCACAUGAUUUAUUUACUUAAAUGCCCAUGUCCUAUUUUAUUUUCUUGUGCAG
This 6446-nucleotide unclassified non-coding RNA is filed under the name Hevea brasiliensis (rubber tree). The record is from RNAcentral. Lineage: Eukaryota; Viridiplantae; Streptophyta; Magnoliopsida; Malpighiales; Euphorbiaceae.